Pan troglodytes (chimpanzee) is the source of this 117-nucleotide non-coding RNA. It matches the Rfam family "Metazoan signal recognition particle RNA". From Rfam's summary of the family: The signal recognition particle (SRP) is a universally conserved ribonucleoprotein. It is involved in the co-translational targeting of proteins to membranes. The record is from Rfam. NCBI's taxonomy places the organism in Eukaryota, Metazoa, Chordata, Mammalia, Primates, Hominidae.
GCCGGGCGCGGUGGCUCACGCCUGUAAUCCCAGCUUCUGGGGAGGCCGAGGUGGGCGGAUCACCUGAGGUCAGGAGUUUGAGACCAGCCUGGCCAAGAUGGUGAGACCCCGUCUCAA